CGGGGGGAGCAAGCGUUGUUCGGAUUUACCGGGCGUAAAGGGCGCGUAGGCGGUCGUGACAAGUCACUUGUGAAAUCUCCGGGCUUAACUCGGAACGGUCAAGUGAUACUGUCGGACUAGAGUACAGAAGGGGCAACUGGAAUUCUCGGUGUAGCGGUGAUAUGCGUAGAUAUCGAGAGGAACACCUGCGGCGAAGGCGGGUUGCUGGGCUGAUACUGACGCUGAGGCGCGAAAGCCAGGGGAGCGAACGGGAUUAGAUACCCCGGUAGUCCUGGCCUUAAACGAUGAAUGCUUGGUGUCUCGGGUUAUAAAGUCCCGGGGUGCCGUCGCUAACGCUUUUAGCAUUCCGCCUGGGGAGUACGGUCGCAAGACUG
This 374-nucleotide ribosomal RNA is filed under the name uncultured organism. Its description in RNAcentral is "bacterial SSU rRNA". It matches the Rfam family "Bacterial small subunit ribosomal RNA", at positions 526 to 896 of the family's 1533-position model. The record is from RNAcentral.